GAAUUUAUUUUUAUUUCCCUCAAGCAAGAUCUCACCUAGGGCCUGUCAUGGCAAAUAGUGUCCCCCUGCCAACUAGUGUUCCCAUCCUGCGUCACAAUGGGAUUCGAUGAGUUCUAGCUUCUGUUGCUAGGGCUGUUGCUAGAACUUGCAAAAUUCUGACCGGAUUACGUAAUGAACCAAAGCAUCCGUUGCUAUGCUGGUUGCUUGGCUCUAUUUGACCUUGUAGCAGUCACAAAGGAAGGAGGACGCGGGCAGUUCUUGUUCUAUUUCACCUCAAAACGCUCGCUCAGUCCGUGCAAAUUUAUUACCUCAGAAUUGCUCUCCAAGGAUGGUGUUUUUCACAGUGACAACCUGCUGACUACCUGCUGCCUCAAAGGAGCAAAAAUACUGGAAAGAGAACACUUUCUUUACCAUAUCGUUGUUUUUAUAUAAGAAAAUAUUUUUAAAUAGGAAGAAAUAAUUUAAGCUGUUUUUAGAUUGACUUUGCUAGCUAGUGUACUUAUUUACCUCAGCCUGCCUAGUCAGAUAGCCAGCUACCGUAGAGACGCAACAACAUUCAGAGACAUUCAGAGUAACGUUAAGCAAUUAACUUCUAUUAGAUAACUGGACGGAUUUAGCCAUGUACAACCAUUUUUCAACAACCAUUUUCCAUCGAGCAAGUUGGUCAUCUACAUGUUGCUAGCUAUACAUAUGUCAUAUUGAGGUAUCUAGCUAUAAGUUAAACCUGAUAAAUCAAAUGGAUAGGUGUAAGCAAUUAUGGUCAUUUCAAAUGCCCUUAACUAGGUGUCUUCGCUAGACAGACACAGAGGAGCGGGAGGAAGUAAGAAAGAAAGGAUGAAAGUGAGAGAGGGAGGGAGGUGGGAAGAGAGUGGAAGACAGACAGAAAGAAACCGAGAGAGAAAGACAGCAGUGCAAAUGUACUUAGACUUGAGUAUUUCAGCAACUCUUCUCUUCCAACUUGUUAGGCAAUCAUAUGUAUGGGGAAGGAUGGCCAGCCACACAGGAGGGUGAUUUUUACUAAGGAGGAGAAGGAGGCCGUGCUGGCCAUUUCAGAGUGAAGCGCAUGAUUGCCUAAAUCAACCUACACUUCUUCUGACGGGGAAUUGUCAAGGGGUUGGACAGCUGGGGAAUUGAAAUAACCUUCUGUUUAUCAAUCACAUUCUAUUACAGUAUAUCUGAAAUUAUUAUGAUUUCAAUGAAUGUCAUAUCAGAGCGCACACAAUGUGCACACAAAAUAACCUGAAGCUAGUGUUAGUUUCCCUAGCACUGAUAUUUUUCUAUUUGUCUUCCUAGGGUUACCUUGGUGGAAGCCAACAAUCUUCUCCAGUUGGAGCAGUUGGACGGUCGACCACUGAACGCACUGACGCCCUACACUGUGGUGAAGCCCAAUAGACAAAGUAUGUUAAGCUUUGGUUGACAUUUGAGAAAGCAAGAAAUGGUAGUUAUGCUGAGCUUAUAAAAAUGUACCUCUUCAAUUUACCUCUCCAAAUGACUUCGACUGGCUCGGACAUCGACUGUCCGAGCCCCCCAGGAGGUAUCCCAUCUACCAGAACCAGUGAGUUCAGAUCAGUCUGAUUCUCUGUGCUCUGAGUCGGAGGGGGACUAGCUAUAGGACCUAGGGGUUCUGCCCAACACCCAGACGUGGGUCCACCUGAUGUCCUCCAUUACCAACCACCUUCCAACUUUUCAUUACAUCAUCUACAGCUACUGUUAUUGUCAUGUUGUCAUUAUCUGCUAAGAAACUUUUAUUUCUUUAUCAUACUGGGCACAUAAUAUGUGACAUACCCAGAUUAACUAAAACACUAGCACUGCAAACACUCAGAACAAAGAGAGCAGUCACCCUCUUCAAGUCCCCCUUCCGAGACUGGCUAGUUGUUGAGAACAAAUGACAGGCAGAACCUCCCAACCAUACAGCAACCACCUCCGGAAUAUUCCACAUACUAGAAUUCAGUAUUUUAGUCUAUAAUUGUCAUGUGAGUGUACAAAACAUCUGUAAAAAUAAAUGAAUGACACAACUGUACCAAAAAAAUAUCAAAUUUGUAUUAAAAUCUUAAACCUUGCCAGGUUGAUUUUCAAA
Molecule: non-coding RNA, 2077 nt
Organism: Salmo salar (Atlantic salmon)
Lineage: Eukaryota; Metazoa; Chordata; Actinopteri; Salmoniformes; Salmonidae
Source: RefSeq, a predicted model, not a curated record